RNAcentral lists this ribosomal RNA (459 nucleotides) under uncultured soil bacterium. RNAcentral's name for it is "bacterial SSU rRNA". It matches the Rfam family "Bacterial small subunit ribosomal RNA", at positions 61 to 519 of the family's 1533-position model. The record is from RNAcentral.
GUCGAGGGGUAAUGGGAGCUUGCUUCCAUGAGACCGGCGCACGGGUGCGUAACGCGUAUGCAAUCUGCCUUUUACAGGGGAAUAGCCCAGAGAAAUUUGGAUUAAUGCCCCAUGGUAUAUUUGAGUGGCAUCACUUGAUUAUUAAAGAUUUAUCGGUAAAAGAUGAGCAUGCGUCCCAUUAGCUAGUUGGUAAGGUAACGGCUUACCAAGGCUACGAUGGGUAGGGGUCCUGAGAGGGAGAUCCCCCACACUGGUACUGAGACACGGACCAGACUCCUACGGGAGGCAGCAGUGAGGAAUAUUGGACAAUGGGCGCAAGCCUGAUCCAGCCAUGCCGCGUGCAGGAUGAAGCAUCUAUGGUGUGUAAACUGCUUUUAUACGGGAAGAAACCCUGGCUCGUGAGCCAGACUGACGGUACCGUAAGAAUAAGGAUCGGCUAACUCCGUGCCAGCAGCCGCG